This 479-nucleotide ribosomal RNA is filed under the name uncultured Pedobacter sp. RNAcentral describes it as "partial 16S ribosomal RNA". The record is from RNAcentral. Lineage: Bacteria; Pseudomonadati; Bacteroidota; Sphingobacteriia; Sphingobacteriales; Sphingobacteriaceae.
CACGGAGUUAGCCGAUCCUUAUUCUUCUGGUACAUUCAGUUCCGUAUACAUACGGAAGUUUAUUCCCAGAUAAAAGCAGUUUACGACCCAGAGGGCUGUCUUCCUGCACGCGGCAUGGCUGGUUCAGAGUUGCCUCCAUCGACCAAUAUUCCUUACUGCUGCCUCCCGUAGGAGUCUGGUCCGUGUCUCAGUACCAGUGUGGGGGGUCAUCCUCUCAGAUCCCCUAGACAUCGCGGUCUUGGUGGGCCGUUACCCCGCCAACUAACUAAUGUCACGCAUGCCCAUCUUGAUCCUAUAAAUAUUUGAACAUUGGAUAAUGCUAUCCUGUUGUUUUUAUGUCGGUGUUAAUCGGUAUUUCUCCGGGCUAUCCCCUGAUCAAGGUAGGUUGCAUACGCGUUACGCACCCGUGCGCACUGUCAUAUCCAGCAAGCUGGAUAAUCUCGUUCGACUUGCAUGUAUUAGCUGCCGUCUACGUCGUU